GCGAGAGCAGAGAACAGGAGUGCAGCAGUUUAGUGAAAGGAACAGGAAAGGUGAAGAAGAGGUGAGCAUCCAAAAGACGAGCAAGAGGACAGUUCCAAAGGAGACGUGACGGCACAAUAAAAGCUAGAGAAACUCACCUGAUGUAGUGGUAAUGCGUUAUUCACCACUAGAUGGAGACAACCUGGCACAGGCCUCCUCCUGCUUCACUGCCAUAAAUCCAUCACCAGAGGGCUCCACUGACCUGCCUGUUGACAUCAGACCACACCCCUGUGUCAUGUGACCUGGCUGGAGUUGCAAAGCUGGACUCAGACCUGGCCCAGGCAAGUUCAAAG
Molecule: long non-coding RNA, 332 nt
Organism: Maylandia zebra (zebra mbuna)
Lineage: Eukaryota; Metazoa; Chordata; Actinopteri; Cichliformes; Cichlidae
Source: RefSeq, a predicted model, not a curated record